This is a long non-coding RNA of Sesamum indicum (sesame), 460 nucleotides long. RefSeq lists it as uncharacterized. NCBI's taxonomy places the organism in Eukaryota, Viridiplantae, Streptophyta, Magnoliopsida, Lamiales, Pedaliaceae. The record is from RefSeq and is a predicted model, not a curated record.
UGCACAAACACACACACACACAUAUUAAAGAAAUAUGAGAAAUUUAAAGUUUUCUAGCGCUAUUCAUCUCAUUUUAUGUUACAUUAUUCUUUUAUUAUCAGGGGAGAUGAUGAAAUUUUCGAGCGUGAAUGCAAAGGAUGACUGUAAGGAAGGGCUUCCAUGGGUGCCGGUGAUAUGCAAUAGAAGCCAAGUGAACCAACCCUGCUGGGACGCCUGUAUCCAGCGUCAUGGAUCCAGCGUCAGGGCUGAGUGCCACAGCCUCGAACCCGGCCUCAUUACCGAAGUCUGCUUUUGCUACUGGCCUUGCUGACUUUAUUUACAUCUCAAUAUUAAUAAAUAAAUUUAUGAUGAGCUUAUCAUGUAAGAAUAGCCUCUAAUUAAUGUGAAUUUAUGAUUGGAUCAUGACUUUACUCAUUCAGCUGUUGCAUUUUAAUGAAAUAAAAUAUUCUUCUUCAUGAAA